Molecule: ribosomal RNA, 269 nt
Filed under: uncultured prokaryote
Description: partial 16S ribosomal RNA
Rfam family: Bacterial small subunit ribosomal RNA
Source: RNAcentral
UACGUAGGGUGCGAGCGUUGUCCGGAAUUAUUGGGCGUAAAGAGCUUGUAGGCGGUUUGUCGCGUCUGUUGUGAAAAUCCGGGGCUCAACCCCGGACUUGCAGUGGGUACGGGCAGACUAGAGUGUGGUAGGGGAGACUGGAAUUCCUGGUGUAGCGGUGAAAUGCGCAGAUAUCAGGAGGAACACCGAUGGCGAAGGCAGGUCUCUGGGCCACUACUGACGCUGAGAAGCGAAAGCAUGGGGAGCGAACAGGAUUAGAUACCCUGGUA